GACGAACGCUGGCGGCGUGCUUAACACAUGCAAGUCGAACGGAAAGGCCCUGCUUGCCGGGUACUCGAGUGGCGAACGGGUGAGUAACACGUGGGUGAUCUGCCCUGCACUUCGGGAUAAGCCUGGUAAACUGGGUCUAAUACCUGAUAGGAGCCAUUUUUAGCGUGAUGGUUGGAAAGUUUUUUCGGUGUAGGAUGAGCUCGCGGCCUAUCAGCUUGUUGGUGGGGUAAUGGCCUACCAAGGCGGCGGCGGGUAGCCGGCCUGAGAGGGUGGCCGGCCACAUUGGGACUGAGAGACGGACCAGACUCCUACGGGAGGAAGCAGUGGGGAAUAUUGCACAAUGGGCGCAAGCCUGAUGAAGCGACGCCGCGUGGGGGAUGACGGCCUUCGGGUUGUAAACUCCUUACGCUAGGGACGAAGCUUUGUGGGACGGUACCUAGAUAAGAAGCACCGGCUAACUA
This 461-nucleotide ribosomal RNA is filed under the name uncultured bacterium. RNAcentral's name for it is "partial 16S ribosomal RNA". It matches the Rfam family "Bacterial small subunit ribosomal RNA", at positions 28 to 503 of the family's 1533-position model. The record is from RNAcentral.